GACGAACGGAGCGAACGUUGUUCGGAAUCACUGGGCUUAAAGGGCGCGUAGGCGGAUUCUCAAGUCUGGGGUGAAAUCCCACAGCUCAACUGUGGAACUGCCUCGGAUACUGGGAGUCUCGAGGGUGGCAGGGGUAUGCGGAACUAUCGGUGGAGCGGUGAAAUGCGUUGAUAUCGAUAGGAACUCCGGUGGCGAAGGCGGCAUACUGGUCCACUUCUGACGCUGAGGCGCGAAAGCCAGGGGAGCAAACGGG
Molecule: ribosomal RNA, 253 nt
Filed under: uncultured bacterium
Lineage: Bacteria
Description: partial 16S ribosomal RNA
Rfam family: Bacterial small subunit ribosomal RNA
Source: RNAcentral